UACGUAGGGGGCAAGCGUUGUCCGGAUUUACUGGGCGUAAAGAGCGCGUAGGCGGGAGAGCAAGUCCGGUGUGAAAGCCCCCGGCUCAACCGGGGAAGGUCGCUGGAAACUGCUCUUCUUGAGGUGGACAGAGGGAAGUGGAAUUCCUGGUGUAGCGGUGAAAUGCGUAGAUAUCAGGAGGAACACCAGUGGCGAAGGCGACUACCUGGCCUGUUCUUGACGCUGAGGCGCGAAAGCUAGGGGAGCAAACGGG
This 253-nucleotide ribosomal RNA is filed under the name uncultured bacterium. RNAcentral's name for it is "partial 16S ribosomal RNA". It matches the Rfam family "Bacterial small subunit ribosomal RNA", at positions 524 to 776 of the family's 1533-position model. The record is from RNAcentral.